RNAcentral lists this ribosomal RNA (104 nucleotides) under uncultured bacterium. Its description in RNAcentral is "partial 16S ribosomal RNA". It matches the Rfam family "Bacterial small subunit ribosomal RNA", at positions 1379 to 1482 of the family's 1533-position model. The record is from RNAcentral.
CCUUGUACACACCGCCCGUCAAGCCACGAAAGCCGGAAGUACCCAAAGUCGCGUAUCUAACCGCAAGGAAGGAAGCGCCUACGGUAAGUUCGGUGAUUGGGACU